This 404-nucleotide ribosomal RNA is filed under the name uncultured bacterium. RNAcentral's name for it is "partial 16S ribosomal RNA". It matches the Rfam family "Bacterial small subunit ribosomal RNA", at positions 28 to 526 of the family's 1533-position model. The record is from RNAcentral.
GACGAACGCUGGCGGCGUGCUUAACACAUGCAAGUCGAGCGGAGCGGCGAACGGGUGAGUAACGCGUGAGUAACUGCCCCCCUCUCUGGGAUAACAGUUGGAAACGGCAGCUAAUACCGGAUAGUGGGGGGUGACUCGAGUCAUAUCAGCUUGUUGGUGGGGUAGGGGCCUACCAAGGAGAAGGCGGGUAGCCGGCCUGAGAGGGCGACCGGCCACAUUGGGCUGAGAUACGGCACAAACUCCUACGGGAGGCAGCAGUUGGGAAUAUUGCACAAUGGGGGAAACCCUGAUGCAGCAACGCGCGUGCGGGAUGACGGCCUUCGGGUUGUAAACCGCUUUCAGCCAUGACGCGGUAGUGGCAGAAGAAGCACCGGCUAACUACGUGCCAGCCGCCGCGGUAAUUC